UGGGGAAUAUUGGACAAUGGGCGCAAGCCUGAUCCAGCCAUGCCGCGUGAGUGAUGAAGGCCUUAGGGUUGUAAAGCUCUUUCACCGGUGAAGAUAAUGACGGUAACCGGAGAAGAAGCCCCGGCUAACUUCGUGCCAGCAGCCGCGGUAAUACGAAGGGGGCUAGCGUUGUUCGGAAUUACUGGGGCGUAAAGCGCACGUAGGCGGACAUUUAAGUCAGGGGUGAAAUCCCGGGGCUCAACUCGGAACUGCCUUUGAUACUGGGUGUCUUUGAGUAUGGGAAGAGGUAAGUGGAAUUGCGAGUGUAGAGGUGAAAUUCGUAGAUAUUCGCAGGAACACCAGUGGCGAAGGCGGCUUACUGGUCCAUUGCUGACGCUGAGGUGCGAAAAGCGUGGGGAGCAAAACAGGAUUNGAUACCCUGGUAGUCCACGCCGUAAACGAUGAGUGCUAGCCGUCGGGGCAGUUUACUGUUCGGUGGCGCAGCUAACGCAUUAAGCA
Molecule: ribosomal RNA, 498 nt
Filed under: uncultured bacterium
Lineage: Bacteria
Description: partial 16S ribosomal RNA
Rfam family: Bacterial small subunit ribosomal RNA
Source: RNAcentral